AUCCAGCUGGCGAGUUCCAAGUUAGACGAAACGCUCGUCCUGGAU
RNAcentral lists this non-coding RNA (45 nucleotides) under Schistosoma mattheei. Lineage: Eukaryota; Metazoa; Platyhelminthes; Trematoda; Strigeidida; Schistosomatidae. The record is from RNAcentral.